This 437-nucleotide ribosomal RNA is filed under the name uncultured Oscillospiraceae bacterium. Its description in RNAcentral is "partial 16S ribosomal RNA". It matches the Rfam family "Bacterial small subunit ribosomal RNA", at positions 341 to 792 of the family's 1533-position model. The record is from RNAcentral. Lineage: Bacteria; Bacillati; Bacillota; Clostridia; Eubacteriales; Oscillospiraceae.
ACGGGAGGCAGCAGUCGGGAAUAUUGCACAAUGGAGGAAACUCUGAUGCAGUGACGCCGCGUAUAGGAAGAAGGUUUUCGGAUUGUAAACUAUUGUCGAAGGGGAAGAAACAAAUGACAGUACCCUUGGAGGAAGCCCCGGCUAACUACGUGCCAGCAGCCGCGGUAAUACGUAGGGGGCAAGCGUUGUCCGGAUUUAUUGGGUGUAAAGGGCGCGUAGACGGCUUUUUAAGUUGGUUGUGAAAUCCCUCGGCUCAACUGAGGAACUGCAACCAAAACUGGAGAGCUUGAGUGCAGGAGAGGAAAGUGGAAUUCCUAGUGUAGCGGUGGAAUGCGUAGAUAUUAGGAGGAACACCAGUGGCGAAGGCGACUUUCUGGACUGUAACUGACGUUGAGGCGCGAAAGUGUGGGGAGCAAACAGGAUUAGAUACCCUGGUA